CUGGCAGAGAGUAGGCACUUGCAAAAUAUUUGUUGGGUAAAUGAAUGCAGGAUGAAUGAAUGUGUAAACGAGAGGAACAGAAAUUUCACUCACUGGCCAAUGGAUGGGUGGGGAAGAAAUGUCUGGGGUCACCUCCUGGUUCCUCCUUGGAGAGAUGUACCCCUGAGGGCUCAGGAACCUUCACUUGCUUCUUGCCCUCAGCAUCACCAUGAACGGAAAGACCAUCGCUUUGCUUAAGGGGCUGCCAAGCCAUUGUUGACACCGGCACCUCUCUGCUGACCGGCCCAACCAGCCCCAUUGCCAACAUCCAAAGCGACAUCGGAGCCAGUGAGAACUCAGACGGCGAGGUGAGUCCAGCCCCGACGGCUCUGUUCUACACUCAAAUAGUGGGUGUGCCAGGCACACGGGACCAAAACCCUUCCAACUUUUCUCACCUCACUCUUUCCAGAUGGUGGUCAGCUGCUCAGCCAUCAGCAGCCUGCCCCGACAUCGCUCUUCACCAUCAACGGAGUCCAGUACCCUUUGCCACCCAGUGCCUACAUCCUGCAGAGCCAGGGCAGCUGCACCAGCGGCUUCCAGGGCAUGGACGUCCCCACCGAAUCUGGAGAGCUUUGGAUCCUGGGUGAUGUCUUCAUCCGCCAGUACUUCACUGUCUUCGACAGGGCAAACAACCAGGUCGGCUCUGGCUCCCGUGGGCUUAAGCCCAGGUCUUUCCAGCCACCUCCCAGGAAGAUCUGACCUCCGGCCCCCGCCCACUUUAGAUGUAUCUAAUUCUCCUGACUGUCCUUCCCAGGGGAGUGUGGAGGUCUUGGUCCUGUUCCCUGUCUUACCAAUAAUGUAGAAUAAAACUUAACCUACUGAAACAGGUUUUAUGGAGCUGCUUCUUUGCUGGUCUUUUUCCUUCACAUCACUGGGGUUAGAACGCCAGGGCAGGGACCAAAAUGACCACAUCCACUUGGAUGGCAGCCAACAGAGUGACACCAGCAGCGGACACUUCAUGGUAG
This 1004-nucleotide long non-coding RNA is filed under the name Macaca fascicularis (crab-eating macaque). Its description in RNAcentral is "lncRNA (ENSMFAG00000059591.1)". Lineage: Eukaryota; Metazoa; Chordata; Mammalia; Primates; Cercopithecidae. The record is from RNAcentral.